GCUGGAAAUCCAAGAUGCUCCUUUUGUAGAGACAUUGAAACGUCUCAACAUCUGUUCUUUACCUGUCUCGUGGCUCGGGUGGUCUGGAGGACGGUGGGUUGUGUGUUGGGCACAGACUUGUGCCCAAAUAACAUAUGGCAAUAUUUCUUCUGGUGUUAUGUAUUCCUACCUCAUGGAGCCAGGUUCUAUACCUUUGGCCUAGCAGCCAUAUGCUGGGCUAUUUGGAAUAGCCGCAACCAGGCUACUUUCGAACACAAACAACUUAAGACACCAUUUAAUGUGGUGUACACUGCCUGUGGUUUUUUGACAUAUUGGGCAGGCUUGAUGACAGGUGCUAAUCGGGAGGCAAUGGAGCGUGGUGCCAAGAUGCUCAAGACGAACGCUUCUGCGAUGAUGCGGAUUUGUGCAGCUCCAGCCAGGGCGACGAUGGAUUGA
Molecule: ribosomal RNA, 435 nt
Filed under: Triticum aestivum (bread wheat)
Lineage: Eukaryota; Viridiplantae; Streptophyta; Magnoliopsida; Poales; Poaceae
Description: partial small subunit ribosomal RNA
Source: RNAcentral